GGCGUCCGGGUGAGUAACACGUGGGUAAUCUACCUCUGCGGUGGGGAAUAACACCUCGAAAGAGGUGCUAAUACCGCAUAACGCAGCGGCACCUAAUGGUGAUUAGUUGUUAAAGCGGGGGAUCGCAAGACCUCGCGCCAGGAGAGGAGCCUGCGGCCGAUUAGCUAGUUGGUGAGGUAACGGCUCACCAAGGCUUCGAUCGGUAGCUGGUCUGAGAGGACGGCCAGCCACACUGGCACUGAAAUACGGGCCAGACUCCUACGGGAGGCAGCAGUGGGGAAUUUUGGGCAAUGGGCGCAAGCCUGACCCAGCAACGCCGCGUGAGGGAGGAAAUCCUUCGGGAUGUAAACCUCGCAAGCAGGGGAAGAGUGCUUUCGACCUAAUACGUCGAAAGAAGGACGGUACCCUGCGUAAGCCACGGUAACUACGUGCCAGCCGCCGCGG
RNAcentral lists this ribosomal RNA (444 nucleotides) under uncultured bacterium. RNAcentral's name for it is "bacterial SSU rRNA". It matches the Rfam family "Bacterial small subunit ribosomal RNA", at positions 97 to 520 of the family's 1533-position model. The record is from RNAcentral.